This 397-nucleotide ribosomal RNA is filed under the name Globigerinoides ruber ruber. RNAcentral describes it as "SSU rRNA". It matches the Rfam family "Eukaryotic small subunit ribosomal RNA", at positions 1250 to 1478 of the family's 1831-position model. The record is from RNAcentral. Lineage: Eukaryota; Foraminifera; Rotaliida; Globigerinidae.
AAUGGCUCUUUCAUGAUUAUAUGAUAGGUGGUGCAUGGCCGUUCUUAGUUCGUGGAGUGAUCUGUCUGCUUAAUUGCGUUUCAAAUUUUUAUUUGAGGACCAGGUUUUGGUUUGGGUAGUGGUCCUACGAUGACUGUGAACUGUCAUGUCUUCGGAUGUGCGACUAUCGGUCUAGGAUCGCAUCUCAGCCCCUGGGACUCUUUUGAACGCAACGGACGUGAUUGCAACCCCUUGUUGAGAUUAGAGGAGUCUCGAUAUUCAUUGGCCAAACUUACCGCUUCGAGCUUGCUCGUGCAGUUUUGUUAGCCGGUGGAUAAACUCGGGGGACUGCUGACUAUAACCAUUUCUCAAAACAGAGGAAGGUUGCGGCAAUAACAGGUCUGUGAUGCCCUCAGAU